AGUGAACGCUGGCGGCAGGCUUUACACAUGCAAGUCGAACGGCAGCACACCUUGGGGUUGCUCUUACGGGUGGAGGGGGGAGUACGGGUUCGGAACAUAUCGGAAUCUAGUGUUUCGCGGGGGAUAACGUGGGGUAAUACACGCUAAUAUCUGAUGCUAACUACGGGUGAACGCAGGGGAUCUUUGGACCUCGCGCGUUUGAAUGAGCCGAUGUCGGAUUAGCUAGUUGGCGGGGUAAAGGCCCACCAAGGCGACGAUCCGUAGCUGGUCUGAGAGGAUGAUCAGCCACACUGGAACUGAGACACGGUCCAGACUCCUACGGGAGGCAGCAGUGGGGAAUAUUGGACAAUGGGCGCAAGCCUGAUCCAGCCAUACCGCGUGGGUGAAGAAGGCCUUCGGGUUGUAAAGCCCUUUUGUUAGGAAAGAAAAGCAGCACGUUAAUACCGCGCUGUACUGACGGUACCCAAAGAAUAAGCACCGGCUAACUUCGUG
This 492-nucleotide ribosomal RNA is filed under the name uncultured bacterium. RNAcentral's name for it is "partial 16S ribosomal RNA". It matches the Rfam family "Bacterial small subunit ribosomal RNA", at positions 29 to 507 of the family's 1533-position model. The record is from RNAcentral.